Molecule: ribosomal RNA, 373 nt
Filed under: uncultured organism
Description: partial 16S ribosomal RNA
Rfam family: Bacterial small subunit ribosomal RNA
Source: RNAcentral
GUAGGUGGCAAGCGUUGUCCGGAAUUAUUGGGCGUAAAGCGCGCGCAGGCGGUUCUUUAAGUCUGAUGUGAAAGCCCACGGCUCAACCGUGGAGGGUCAUUGGAAACUGGAGAACUUGAGAACAGAAGAGGAAAGCGGAAUUCCACGUGUAGCGGUGAAAUGCGUAGAGAUGUGGAGGAACACCAGUGGCGAAGGCGGCUUUCUGGUCUGUAACUGACGCUGAGGCGCGAAAGCGUGGGGAGCAAACAGGAUUAGAUACCCUGGUAGUCCACGCCGUAAACGAUGAGUGCUAAGUGUUAGGGGGGUUUCCGCCCCCCUUAGUGCUGCAGCUAACGCAUUAAGCACUCCGCCUGGGAGUACGGCCGCAAGGCUG